This 3071-nucleotide ribosomal RNA is filed under the name Campylobacter coli. Its description in RNAcentral is "23S ribosomal RNA". It matches the Rfam family "Bacterial large subunit ribosomal RNA". Lineage: Bacteria; Pseudomonadati; Campylobacterota; Epsilonproteobacteria; Campylobacterales; Campylobacteraceae. The record is from RNAcentral.
AAAAAAGGUAAGCUACUAAGAGCGAAUGGUGGAUGCCUUGACUGGUAAAGGCGAUGAAGGACGUACUAGACUGCGAUAAGCUACGGGGAGCUGUCAAGAAGCUUUGAUCCGUAGAUUUCCGAAUGGGGCAACCCAAUGUAUAGAGAUAUACAUUACCUAUAUAGGAGCGAACGAGGGGAAUUGAAACAUCUUAGUACCCUCAGGAAAAGAAAUCAAUAGAGAUUGCGUCAGUAGCGGCGAGCGAAAGCGCAAGAGGGCAAACCCAGUGCUUGCACUGGGGGUUGUAGGACUGCAAUGUGCAAGAGGUAAGUUUAGCAGAACAUUCUGGAAAGUAUAACCAUAGAGGGUGAUAGUCCCGUAUGCGAAAAACAAACCUUAGCUAGCAGUAUCCUGAGUAGGGCGGGACACGAGGAAUCCUGUCUGAAUCCGGGUCGACCACGAUCCAACCCUAAAUACUAAUACCAGAUCGAUAGUGCACAAGUACCGUGAGGGAAAGGUGAAAAGAACUGAGGUGAUCAGAGUGAAAUAGAACCUGAAACCAUUUGCUUACAAUCAUUCAGAGCCCUAUGUAGCAAUACAGGGUGAUGGACUGCCUUUUGCAUAAUGAGCCUGCGAGUUGUGGUGUCUGGCAAGGUUAAGCAAACGCGAAGCCGUAGCGAAAGCGAGUCUGAAUAGGGCGCUUAGUCAGAUGCUGCAGACCCGAAACGAAGUGAUCUAUCCAUGAGCAAGUUGAAGCUAGUGUAAGAACUAGUGGAGGACUGAACCCAUAGGCGUUGAAAAGCCCCGGGAUGACUUGUGGAUAGGGGUGAAAGGCCAAUCAAACUUCGUGAUAGCUGGUUCUCUCCGAAAUAUAUUUAGGUAUAGCGUUGUGUCGUAAUAUAAGGGGGUAGAGCACUGAAUGGGCUAGGGCAUACACCAAUGUACCAAACCCUAUCAAACUCCGAAUACCUUAUAUGUAAUCACAGCAGUCAGGCGGCGAGUGAUAAAAUCCGUCGUCAAGAGGGAAACAACCCAGACUACCAGCUAAGGUCCCUAAAUCUUACUUAAGUGGAAAACGAUGUGAAGUUACUUAAACAACCAGGAGGUUGGCUUAGAAGCAGCCAUCCUUUAAAGAAAGCGUAAUAGCUCACUGGUCUAGUGAUUUUGCGCGGAAAAUAUAACGGGGCUAAAGUAAGUACCGAAGCUGUAGACUUGCACACAACUUAGAUUAUUUAAGUUUAGAAUAUGAGAAACUAAGUUAUAUGUUUAGUUAUAUUUUUACUGAUUUUUAUAGAGUAAAGAUAGAAAUAAAACUUAGUAAAAUCAGUAAAAAUAUUCUUAGACUAAAGUUAAGUAGUUUAAGUUGUGUGCAAGUGGUAGGAGAGCGUUCUAUUUGCGUCGAAGGUAUACCGGUAAGGAGUGCUGGAGCGAAUAGAAGUGAGCAUGCAGGCAUGAGUAGCGAUAAUUAAUGUGAGAAUCAUUAACGCCGUAAACCCAAGGUUUCCUACGCGAUGCUCGUCAUCGUAGGGUUAGUCGGGUCCUAAGUCGAGUCCGAAAGGGGUAGACGAUGGCAAAUUGGUUAAUAUUCCAAUACCAACAUUAGUGUGCGAUGGAAGGACGCUUAGGGCUAAGGGGGCUAGCGGAUGGAAGUGCUAGUCUAAGGUCGUAGGAGGUUAUACAGGCAAAUCCGUAUAACAAUACUCCGAGAACUGAAAGGCUUUUUGAAGUCUUCGGAUGGAUAGAAGAACCCCUGAUGCCGUCGAGCCAAGAAAAGUUUCUAAGUUUAGCUAAUGUUGCCCGUACCGUAAACCGACACAGGUGGGUGGGAUGAGUAUUCUAAGGCGCGUGGAAGAACUCUCUUUAAGGAACUCUGCAAAAUAGCACCGUAUCUUCGGUAUAAGGUGUGGUUAGCUUUGUAUUAGGAUUUACUCCGAAAGCAAGGAAACUUACAACAAAGAGUCCCUCCCGACUGUUUACCAAAAACACAGCACUCUGCUAACUCGUAAGAGGAUGUAUAGGGUGUGACGCCUGCCCGGUGCUCGAAGGUUAAUUGAUGGGGUUAGCAUUAGCGAAGCUCUUGAUCGAAGCCCGAGUAAACGGCGGCCGUAACUAUAACGGUCCUAAGGUAGCGAAAUUCCUUGUCGGUUAAAUACCGACCUGCAUGAAUGGCGUAACGAGAUGGGAGCUGUCUCAAAGAGGGAUCCAGUGAAAUUGUAGUGGAGGUGAAAAUUCCUCCUACCCGCGGCAAGACGGAAAGACCCCGUGGACCUUUACUACAGCUUGACACUGCUAUUUGGAUAAGAAUGUGCAGGAUAGGUGGGAGGCUUUGAGUAUAUGACGCCAGUUGUAUAUGAGCCAUUGUUGAGAUACCACUCUUUCUUAUUUGGGUAGCUAACCAGCUUGAGUUAUCCUCAAGUGGGACAAUGUCUGGUGGGUAGUUUGACUGGGGCGGUCGCCUCCCAAAUAAUAACGGAGGCUUACAAAGGUUGGCUCAGAACGGUUGGAAAUCGUUCGUAGAGUAUAAAGGUAUAAGCCAGCUUAACUGCAAGACAUACAAGUCAAGCAGAGACGAAAGUCGGUCUUAGUGAUCCGGUGGUUCUGUGUGGAAGGGCCAUCGCUCAAAGGAUAAAAGGUACCCCGGGGAUAACAGGCUGAUCUCCCCCAAGAGCUCACAUCGACGGGGAGGUUUGGCACCUCGAUGUCGGCUCAUCGCAUCCUGGGGCUGGAGCAGGUCCCAAGGGUAUGGCUGUUCGCCAUUUAAAGCGGUACGCGAGCUGGGUUCAGAACGUCGUGAGACAGUUCGGUCCCUAUCUGCCGUGGGCGUAAGAAGAUUGAAGAGAUUUGACCCUAGUACGAGAGGACCGGGUUGAACAAACCACUGGUGUAGCUGUUGUUCUGCCAAGAGCAUCGCAGCGUAGCUAAGUUUGGAAAGGAUAAACGCUGAAAGCAUCUAAGCGUGAAGCCAACUCUAAGAUGAAUCUUCUCUAAGCUCUCUAGAAGACUACUAGUUUGAUAGGCUGGGUGUGUAAUGGAUGAAAGUCCUUUAGCUGACCAGUACUAAUAGAGCGUUUGGCUUAUCUUUAAUAAAGCAU